This 401-nucleotide ribosomal RNA is filed under the name Photorhabdus luminescens. Its description in RNAcentral is "bacterial SSU rRNA". It matches the Rfam family "Bacterial small subunit ribosomal RNA", at positions 39 to 425 of the family's 1533-position model. The record is from RNAcentral. Lineage: Bacteria; Pseudomonadati; Pseudomonadota; Gammaproteobacteria; Enterobacterales; Morganellaceae.
GUAUCUGUGCGGGAUUAACUAACACAUGCAAGUCGGGCGGUAACAGGAAAGCGCUUGCGCUUUUGCUGACGAGCGGCGGACGGGUGAGUAAUGUCUGGGGAUCUGCCCGAGGGCGGGGGAUAACCACUGGAAACGGUGGCUAAUACCGCAUAAUGUCGCGAGACCAAAGUGGGGGACCUGAAAGGGCCUCACGCCGUCGGAUGAACCCAGAUGGGAUUAGCUGGUAGGUAGGGUAAUGGCCUACCUAGGCGACGAUCUCUAGCUGGUCUGAGAGGAUGACCAGCCACACUGGGACUGAGACACGGCCCAGACUCCUACGGGAGGCAUCAUUGGGGAAUAUUGCACAAUGGGCGCAAGCCUGAUGCAGCCAUGCCACGUGUAUGAAGAAUGCCUUCGGGUUG